RNAcentral lists this ribosomal RNA (389 nucleotides) under Echinodermata sp. Its description in RNAcentral is "partial small subunit ribosomal RNA". It matches the Rfam family "Eukaryotic small subunit ribosomal RNA", at positions 582 to 975 of the family's 1831-position model. The record is from RNAcentral. Lineage: Eukaryota; Metazoa; Echinodermata.
AUUCCAGCUCCAAUAGCGUAUAUUAAAAUUGCUGCAGUUAAAAAGCUCGUAGUUGGAUCUUGGGCGCAGGCUGGCGGUCCGCCGCAAGGCGCGCCACUGCCCGCCUGGCCUUCCUCUCGGUCUCCGCCCGGUUCUCUUGACUGAGUGCCGGGCGCGGCCGAAACGUUUACUUUGAAAAAAUUGGAGUGUUCAAAGCAGGCCGUGAGCCUGGACAGCAGAGCAUGGAAUAAUGGAAUAGGACCUCGGUUCUAUUGCGUUGGUUUUCGGAACUCGAGGUAAUGAUUAAGAGGGACUGACGGGGGCAUUCGUAUUGCGGUGUGAGAGGUGAAAUUCUUGGAUCGCCGCAAGACGACCGACUGCGAAAGCAUUUGCCAAGAAUGUUUUCAUCA